This is a long non-coding RNA of Sinocyclocheilus grahami, 1049 nucleotides long. Lineage: Eukaryota; Metazoa; Chordata; Actinopteri; Cypriniformes; Cyprinidae. The record is from Ensembl.
GUUAUGAUUUUAACGGUACUGAAACAUCUAAUCCAAGGGUGGCCAACGUUUAGUCCUUGAGAGCCAAAGUCCUGCAGAGUUCAAAUCCAACCCUAAUCAAACACACCUGAACCAGCUAAUCAAGGUAUGAGGGUGUCUAGAAACCUUCAGGUGAGUUUUUGUCUGCAUGUACAGUUUAAAUGUGUGUGUGACCUGGAUGUUAAGAGCUGCAUCAAGAGAAACCGCCUCAGAGUGAGUUCCUGACUGUUAAAAGUGGAUUCUCCUGGAAAAUCAACAGCUGCUGAGUAAUGCAGGAGCCUCCAUCCUCAUGUGCAGACCUGACUCAUGAAGGUAGGCAAGUGCAAUAAGGCACUUUCUGCAACCUUUUUAUUAAUUUUUUCAAUUCUAUACUUAUGUAUGGAUUUUCUGUGGCCUCCACCCUUAUAGUGGUUUGGCACCUCCAUAGUCCCAGAGCUGAAGCUGCAGUCCGCUCCUCUUUGGCUGGACUGAGACCUUGAUUCUACCAGAGGACAUGACUUCACUUUCUUCCAGACCACACACUAAACAAGUAUGUUUGCUUUCUGUAAUAUCUUGAAAUAUAUUUUUCUGUUUAAACAACUUUUGUAUUACAGAUCCAUUUUAACCUCACAUGUAGUUUUCCUCCGGUUAGCUGGGAUCUUUGAGUUGGAUGUGUUAUCCUUUACAUGGAGUUCUUCGGUAUUUACCUGAAUAAGCCUCAUGUCAGCAACUUUUCUUGCCUCAUUUGCGCGUGGCCUUUGGAAAUGUGGAGAAUAUUGGUUCAGUUUCUUGAGCCGUAUUCAACCAGACACGGAUGCACUUCUCACACCAUGAACAGCUGAGCUGGGUGGCUUCUUGGAUGAGUUGGAUGUGCUCCUGUCCAGUUUCUGAAUGGCAAUUCUUUGAGACUGAUAUAGCCAUGUUCUCCAGCAAAGCUGUUGUGGAUUGUGUCCAUCCUUCAAUUCAUCUUUAUCAGCCAGUGUUAGGUUUACUGUUUAAUGUGGAGCAGAACCGACAGACAGGUGCAGAUACAAAACCACAAGCUUAAAUGU